RNAcentral lists this signal recognition particle RNA (97 nucleotides) under Candidatus Pelagibacter sp. RNAcentral's name for it is "signal recognition particle sRNA small type". The stretch from base 6 to 90 matches the Rfam family "Bacterial small signal recognition particle RNA". From Rfam's summary of the family: The signal recognition particle (SRP) is a universally conserved ribonucleoprotein involved in the co-translational targeting of proteins to membranes. Archaeal SRP consists of a 7S RNA and homologues of the eukaryotic SRP19 and SRP54 proteins. Lineage: Bacteria; Pseudomonadati; Pseudomonadota; Alphaproteobacteria; Candidatus Pelagibacterales; Candidatus Pelagibacteraceae. The record is from RNAcentral. RNAcentral also lists the same sequence under 1 other name.
AGGGUGAUUUAUUAGGCAGAUAUAGAAGUACACCUGGUCAGGUUCGAAAGAAAGCAGCCAAUAUUUCAGUGUCUGGGUUAAUGAUGAACCCUCAUUU